GGGGAUUUAGCUCAGAGGUAGAGCGUUUGCCUAGCAAGUGCAAGGCCCUGGGUUCGGUCCCCAGCUCCG
RNAcentral lists this transfer RNA (69 nucleotides) under Rattus norvegicus (Norway rat). It matches the Rfam family "tRNA". Rfam says of the family: Transfer RNA (tRNA) molecules are approximately 80 nucleotides in length. Lineage: Eukaryota; Metazoa; Chordata; Mammalia; Rodentia; Muridae. The record is from Rfam by way of RNAcentral.